GAUGAAGAACGCAGCAAAAUGCGAUAAGUAAUGUGAAUUGCAGAAUUCAGUGAAUCAUCGAAUCUUUGAACGCACAUUGCGCCCGCUGGUAUUCCGGCGGGCAUGCCUGUUCGAGCGUCAUUUCAACCCUCAAACCCCCCGGGUUUGGUGUUGGGGAUCGGCUCUGCCUCACGGCGGUGCCGCCCCCGAAAUACAUUGGCGGUCUCGCUGCAGCCUCCAUUGCGUAGUAGCUAACACCUCGCAACUGGAACGCGGCGCGGCCAUGCCGUAAAACCCCAACUUCUGAAUGUUGACCUCGGAUCAGGUAGGAAUACCCGCUGAACUUAAGCAUAUCAAUAAGCGGAGGA
RNAcentral lists this unclassified non-coding RNA (347 nucleotides) under soil metagenome. Its description in RNAcentral is "partial contains 5.8S ribosomal RNA, internal transcribed spacer 2, and large subunit ribosomal RNA". The stretch from base 1 to 120 matches the Rfam family "5.8S ribosomal RNA", at positions 35 to 154 of the family's 154-position model. The record is from RNAcentral.